UGACUAAGCCAUGCAAGUCGAAGAGGGUUCGGCCCUCGGCGUACUGCUCAGUAACACGUGGAUAACCUGCCCUAGGGAAAGGGGAUAAUCCCGGGAAACUGGGGAUAAUACCCUAUAGGGUUACAGAUGCUGGAAUGCUCUGUAAUCAAAAGUUCCGGCGCCCUAGGAUGGAUCUGCGGCCGAUUAGGUUGUUGUUGGGGUAAUGGCCCAACAAGCCAGUAAUCGGUACGGGUUGUGGGAGCAAGAGCCCGGAGUUGGAUUCUGAGACACGAAUCCAGGCCCUACGGGGCGCAGCAGGCGCGAAAACUUUACAAUGCGGGCAACCGUGAUAAGGGAACCUCGAGUGCCUGUAAAUGCAGGCUGUUCAGAUGCCUAAAACACAUCUGGAGAAAGGGCCGGGCAAGACCGGCGCCAGCCGCCGCGGUAAUACCGGCGGCUCGAGUGGUGGCCACUUUUAUUGGGCUUAAAGCGUUCGUAGCUGGGUUGUUAAGUCUCUUGGGAAAUCUGGCGGCUUAACCGUCAGGCGUCUAAGGGAUACUGGCAAUCUUGGAACCGGGAGAGGUGAGGGGUACUUCGGGGGUAGGAGUGAAAUCCUGUAAUCCUCGAGGGACCACCUGUGGCGAAGGCGCCUCACCAGAACGGCUUCGACAGUGAGGGACGAAAGCUGGGGGAGCAAACCGGAUUAGAUACCCGGGUAGUCCCAGCCGUAAACUAUGCGCGUUAGGUGUAUCGGUGACCACGAGUUACCGAGGUGCCGAAGGGAAACCGUGAAACGUGCCGCCUGGGAAGUACGGUCGCAAGGCUGAAACUUAAAGGAAUUGGCGGGGGAGCA
This 832-nucleotide ribosomal RNA is filed under the name uncultured archaeon. RNAcentral describes it as "bacterial SSU rRNA". It matches the Rfam family "Archaeal small subunit ribosomal RNA", at positions 41 to 878 of the family's 1478-position model. The record is from RNAcentral.